GCAUAUCAAUAAGCGGAGGAAAAGAAACUAACAAGGAUUCCCCUAGUAGCGGCGAGCGAAGCGGGAAAAGCUCAAAUUUGUAAUCUGGCGUCUACGACGUCCGAGUUGUAAUCUCGAGAAGUGUUUUCCGUGAUAGACCGCAUACAAGUCUCUUGGAACAGAGCGUCAUAGUGGUGAGAACCCAGUACACGAUGCGGAUGCCUAUUACUUUGUGAUACACUUUCGAAGAGUCGAGUUGUUUGGGAAU
This 247-nucleotide ribosomal RNA is filed under the name uncultured yeast. RNAcentral's name for it is "partial 26S ribosomal RNA". It matches the Rfam family "Eukaryotic large subunit ribosomal RNA", at positions 38 to 281 of the family's 3401-position model. Lineage: Eukaryota; Fungi. The record is from RNAcentral.